Molecule: long non-coding RNA, 206 nt
Filed under: Phoenix dactylifera (date palm)
Lineage: Eukaryota; Viridiplantae; Streptophyta; Magnoliopsida; Arecales; Arecaceae
Description: long non-coding RNA (PDAC_LNC018051)
Source: RNAcentral
AAAUUUUCUUAAGGGACAUUUGGUAUGAGAUGAUCAUUUCAAGAUUCAGGAUGAUGUGUAAAGAUGGUGAGAUCACCGUGGUGCAACUGGUUUGGUAUGAGAUGAUCAUUUCAAGAUUCAGGGUGAUGUGUAGAGGUGGUGAGAUUACCGUAUUUGGUUGCACCACAGUGAUCCUACAUGGCAAUGAUUUUAAAUCAUCCUCACUC